Molecule: ribosomal RNA, 301 nt
Filed under: uncultured bacterium
Lineage: Bacteria
Description: partial 16S ribosomal RNA
Rfam family: Bacterial small subunit ribosomal RNA
Source: RNAcentral
CAGUCGCCGCGGUAAUACGUAGGUGGCAAGCGUUGUCCGGAAUUAUUGGGCGUAAAGGGCUCGCAGGCGGUUUCUUAAGUCUGAUGUGAAAGCCCCCGGCUCAACCGGGGAGGGUCAUUGGAAACUGGGAAACUUGAGUGCAGAAGAGGAGAGUGGAAUUCCACGUGUAGCGGUGAAAUGCGUAGAGAUGUGGAGGAACACCGGUGGCGAAAGCGGCUCUCUGGCUUGUAACUGACGCUGAGGCUCGAAAGCGUGGGGAGCAAACAGGAUUAGAGACCCGCGUAGUCCCUGUCUCUUAUAC